RNAcentral lists this ribosomal RNA (328 nucleotides) under uncultured bacterium. Its description in RNAcentral is "partial 16S ribosomal RNA". It matches the Rfam family "Bacterial small subunit ribosomal RNA", at positions 355 to 700 of the family's 1533-position model. The record is from RNAcentral.
UGGGGAAUAUUGGACAAUGGGGGCAACCCUGAUCCAGCAAUGCCGCGUGUGUGAAGAAGGUCUUCGGAUUGUAAAGCACUUUCGACGGGGACGAUGAUGACGGUACCCGUAGAAGAAGCCCCGGCUAACUUCGUGCCAGCAGCCGCGGUAAUACGAAGGGGGCUAGCGUUGCUCGGAAUGACUGGGCGUAAAGGGCGUGUAGGCGGUUUACACAGUCAGAUGUGAAAUCCCCGGGCUUAACCUGGGAGCUGCAUUUGAUACGUGUAGACUAGAGUGUGAGAGAGGGUUGUGGAAUUCCCAGUGUAGAGGUGAAAUUCGUAGAUAUUGG